AGCAUGGCUUAGUGGUUUGAGUGGUGGACUAUGACUCCAGAGACCAGGGUUCGAAUCCUGGUUCAGCCA
Molecule: transfer RNA, 69 nt
Filed under: Phrynosoma platyrhinos (Desert horned lizard)
Lineage: Eukaryota; Metazoa; Chordata; Lepidosauria; Squamata; Phrynosomatidae
Description: tRNA-OTHER
Rfam family: tRNA
About the family: Transfer RNA (tRNA) molecules are approximately 80 nucleotides in length. Their secondary structure includes four short double-helical elements and three loops (D, anti-codon, and T loops). Further hydrogen bonds mediate the characteristic L-shaped molecular structure. tRNAs have two regions of fundamental functional importance: the anti-codon, which is responsible for specific mRNA codon recognition, and the 3' end, to which the tRNAs corresponding amino acid is attached (by aminoacyl-tRNA synthetases). tRNAs cope with the degeneracy of the genetic code in two manners: having more than one tRNA (with a specific anti-codon) for a particular amino acid; and 'wobble' base-pairing, i.e. permitting non-standard base-pairing at the 3rd anti-codon position.
Source: RNAcentral